UGCAGUCGAGCGGACGGAUGGGAGCUUGCUCCCUGAAGUCAGCGGCGGACGGGUGAGUAACACGUGGGCAACCUGCCUGUAAGACUGGGAUAACUUCGGGAAACCGGAGCUAAUACCGGAUAAUUCUUUCCCUCACAUGAGGGAAAGCUGAAAGAUGGUUUCGGCUAUCACUUACAGAUGGGCCCGCGGCGCAUUAGCUAGUUGGUGAGGUAACGGCUCACCAAGGCAACGAUGCGUAGCCGACCUGAGAGGGUGAUCGGCCACACUGGGACUGAGACACGGCCCAGACUCCUACGGGAGGCAGCAGUAGGGAAUCUUCCGCAAUGGACGAAAGUCUGACGGAGCAACGCCGCGUGAGUGAUGAAGGUUUUCGGAUCGUAAAACUCUGUUGUUAGGGAAGAACAAGUACCGGAGUAACUGCCGGUACCUUGACGGUACCUAACCAGAAAGCCACGGCUAACUACGUGCCAGCAGCCGCGGUAAUACGUAGGUGGCAAGCGUUGUCCGGAAUUAUUGGGCGUAAAGCGCGCGCAGGCGGUUCCUUAAGUCUGAUGUGAAAGCCCACGGCUCAACCGUGGAGGGUCAUUGGAAACUGGGGAACUUGAGUGCAGAAGAGAAGAGUGGAAUUCCACGUGUAGCGGUGAAAUGCGUAGAGAUGUGGAGGAACACCAGUGGCGAAGGCGACUCUUUGGUCUGUAACUGACGCUGAGGCGCGAAAGCGUGGGGAGCAAACAGGAUUAGAUACCCUGGUAGUCCACGCCGUAAACGAUGAGUGCUAAGUGUUAGAGGGUUUCCGCCCUUUAGUGCUGCAGCAAACGCAUUAAGCACUCCGCCUGGGGAGUACGG
This 846-nucleotide ribosomal RNA is filed under the name Bacillus sp. (in: firmicutes). Its description in RNAcentral is "bacterial SSU rRNA". It matches the Rfam family "Bacterial small subunit ribosomal RNA", at positions 56 to 885 of the family's 1533-position model. Lineage: Bacteria; Bacillati; Bacillota; Bacilli; Caryophanales; Bacillaceae. The record is from RNAcentral.